CUGAAAAUACUCAUCAUCACUGGUGUGGCCAAGCACCCACAUGCUAGUCGAUCAAGAUGUGGGUUGACGGAAUAACGGGCAACAAUCUCCUCCCUAACUUCAUUUUUAAAAAUUAGCAGUGACCUUCUCCCCUACUGCCAAUGACAGAACAUAACAGCACCACAAAGAAGAUAAGUCUGGGGCUACUGAUGCAGGGGACCCACCUCUUCAGGUGGGAAGCCUCCUAGGUAUGUCAGGAUCAUGAAGAUGGUGACCCGGUUUCUCCAGGUUGCAAACUACACACACACGCACCACUGCCCUGAAGACAGCAGCAACAAGAAAAGCCAUCGUCACCACUCAGAAAACUGCAGAGGAGGCAGGAGCCGCGGAGAAAGGGGACUGAGCGGGGCCUUAGGAAGGCUGAUUCCAGCUUCCCUGGAGAUCAGCUCUGGACCUCUGUUUGCUCAGAGGACUUUUGUGAGGAUCCAAUGAUGGACAGCAGGUGCAGCUAUAACUAAUAAGAAAAACAUUGACUUUGAUUUAUUUUGUGUGUGCGUGAGGAAGAUUCGCCCUGAGCUAACAUCUGUGCCAAUCUUCCUCUUUUUUUUGCUUGAGGACGAUUAGCCCUGAGCUAACAUCUGUGCCAAUCUUCCUCUACUUAGUAUGUGGGAUGCCACCACCGCAUGGCUGAUGAGUGGAGCAGGUCCAGGCCCAGGAUCCAAACCCGCAAACCCCGGGCCGCCAAAGCAGAGUGCGCGGAACUUUAACCACUCGGCCAUGGGGCUGGCCCUAUUUUGAUUUUUUUAUUACAAGUGUAAUACGUGUUUAUUGUGGAAAGUUUUAAACAGAAAAGCAUAAGGGGAAAAAUGGAAAUUACCCAAAUAUCACAACUGUUGACAUCUUGCUGGUUAAUCGGCCAUAUUUUCUGCUAGGUAAAUGCAUACACAUAUUACAGUACAAGGCCUUCUGUAUGCAUUUAUUAGGAAUGUGCCCAAAUAUAUUACGUGGCCCUCAUCUCAUGCUCAUCCUCUCCAUUCUUCCUUUCCAGCUUACCUUUUGGUCCCUCCAAACACGCCCCACCUUCAGGAUUUUGUAUGUGCACGCCCUCUUCCUAGAACGCUCUUUCUCUCUCCGCUGUUUCUUCUUCUGGCUACUCCUACUUAUCCUUGAGGUCUCAGUUUAUUCAUCACCUCCUUAGAGAACAAUUCUCUGACUGCUACCUUUGUCACCAGCCCCUUUGUGAGCACCCAGAACAUCCUGUUCUUCUUCCUCAUAGCAUUAUCAUACUGGACUAGUCUUGCCUCUUUGUUAUCUUGUUUUCCUUGCUGUACUCCAACUCAUGGGCAGGUACUGUAGCUUUUGCUCAUCAGCAUUUACCAGUGGCCGGCCCAUAGCAAAUGGUCAAAAAUUGUUGAAUAAAUGAACAAAAUAUUUAACAAUAUGUGUUACCUAUAUUUCUUUUGAAAUCCCCAAAGUAUAUGUCAUUUCUCAAUAAAUAUCCACUGAAAUGUUAAAUAUAGAAAAAGGUACAAGACAUGGCAACAUGUCUCACGAAGUUUAUAAAUUAGACAGGAGAAAACAUUAGCAACAGGAAGCCUCAGGAUGCCACUCAGGGCUAAGUUGUCUGCUCCUGCCUCCUCUCUGAGUUCUCUUAAGACUGGAAAGGGCAGUACACAAUCCCUAACUUCAGUUGCAUAUUUUUCCUCUCAUUGAGGAUAUCCUGUAGUACCAGUUGGAAUAAGAAGACCCUAGCAGCUUCACAUUUAUACUCCAAAAUCUUGGUGCUUCGACACAAUAAAGUUGAUUUCUCACUCAGGCAAAGUCCAAUGCGACUGUUCCUGCUUGGCGGGCAAUCUUCCAUGCGGUCAUUCAGAAAUCCAGCUCCUUCCAUCUACGGCUCUGACCUUCUCUACGUCCCGUCCCUGAUAUUUAACCAGGAGAUGGGAAGAGAGAGUUUUAUGAGCCAGGCUUGUAAGUAGCACACACUACAUUCAUCCUCUUUUCAUUGGCUAAAACCCAGCCACAUGGCCACACUUAAUUACAAAGGAGGCUGGGAAAUGUAGUUUAUCUGCAUGCACAGGAGGAAAAGGAAAAAGAGUUUGGUGAACACUGAAGUUCUUCUGCCACAAAUGGCAAGGGAGUAUCUAGUCUUAAGUGAUCUCAAGUACCAGUAAUUUUGAUUUAUGGAUAGUGAAAACACUUGUUUUGGUAGAAGAAGGUCCUUCUAACUUAACACUGGACAUAAGAAAAUAUCAUCCCAGGUUUUCAAAUUUUGAGAGUAAAAAAAGGGUCAACGCCAGACUUGAGAAACCACCAAUAUUGGUGACCAUUCCCCGACAUAUUCUAAAAGAGAAUAUCUAAAGAUGGCUUUUAUGAACUUUGAAAAUAAAAUGAUGAUUGCAAGUUACUAUGGGCUCACUAGGAAUUAUCAUAAACUAACCCAGCAUGCUGUCUGGCACAGAGUAGACAAUAACGAUGUAUUGAACAGAUGAACUUCAAAUCUACUUUUAAGGCAACUAUCCCAUUGAUAAAUGACUGUAACUUCAGAAAGUUCUGCCUUAAAUACAGCAGUUUGCCUCUCUAACUUCUAACCAUUACCCUCACUCUGACCUCAAAACCUACAGAAUAAGUCAACUCUCCCAGGUGACAGUUGCACAACUAUUUGGAGACUUCCGUAUGUGCUCUCAUGGUCUUUUAUUUUCCCCCCUGGGUAAAUAUUCCCAGGGCCUUCAAUUCCUCUCUGUGGGACAGAGUGUCAAGCUUCUCACCACUUGGCCGACCUUCUCUGAGAUCUCUCUGCUUGGUCGAAGUUGCUCUCCACAGUUUCAGGUCCACAAUGUUCCCAAUGAGCUCCAACCAGCAGCAUUCAGUAGAAUUAUCACUCCCCAGCUCUGAGUAUCAAAAGAAGUAUUUAAACAGUGAAGAUGCUGCCAAAGGGAUCCAGGAUUGGGAAAAGGGCAGGACUUGGAAGACAGCCUCUAAGGACUCUUGCCACUUUAUGACCCCUCAGGUUUUGUGGAAGUGUGAGUGCUGGGAAGACAUUGCCAUAAGGGUGACGGUGUAUACAACAGGUACACAUUCCUCCUUGACAAAAGUCUAGUCCACGCAUACCCUCCAAUAACUCAAUUCACUUGCAUAGUUGUAUUUCAGCUUUCUUCAUUUCUGCCUCUUUACUCCAAUUGUGAUGUGGAUGCACAUAUCCAAGCUGAAACAUGAAAAAAGGGGGAGGGCUGUGGGGGAGAGAAUGGAACAUUCCAAAAUUAGAAACCAGUCCCUAGCAAAUGAGAACUAAUUUUGUGGAGAGUUGAUCCAAGAGAAGGACUGGCACAGGCGCUCUGAUGUACGACAAACAUCUAUUGAGCACUGCCUAUGUGCCAAGCACCACGCUAAAUGCUGUGGGUACGGUGAGUACCAAGAGAUGGUACCAUCCUCCCUCUUGAAGCUUGGCCUCUGGUAGGCAAUUAAAUGAAGAAAUAUGGAAUAACAAAUUAAGACAAGUUCUACUGUUACGAAGAAAUCUCUGUUUCGCUGGCUUCAGGUUUCCACGAGGGGACAUUUGCUAGAGAAACACUUCUUUCUCCAUCCCUUAUUUACUCCCCAUGGGAAGAAGAGUGCAUUACCUGAUUGCUGAGUUCAGGAGAAAGACCCAGCAUGCCCAUCUCAGCCAUUUGCUCUCUCUUCUCAGAUCAAUCUGUCCACAGGAUUUACACACUCGUUGUCCAUGUGGAAGAGGCCUGCAACUGCCCACCUCUGCCAGGGACCAGUGGGUAAAUUUAAUUCAGGGUGAAGUGUUAGGAAAUCCGUGUGGCAUCUAGUCUGCCAUGCCCUCCCAUCUGUCCUACAGUAGCCAUCAAGUUGACAUUUCCAUUCAUCUGACUCUUGUAUGUAACUUUCAGCUGGGUCUGAACUCAAGCGGGAAAGAAAGGGGUGUUAUUUAUCACCCUCCUGAAAUCCCAACAGCUAUAAAGAAAAAACAUAGGGACUUAUGAGAAAGUACAAGAGGGGAAUCUAAUUGAGAUGGGAGGAAGGGUUUGAUGCGAAACAGCCUCUGUAAGUGUCAUUUAAGCUGACAUCCAAAGGAAACAGAAAUUGACCAAGCAACAAGGAAGAGGUGGGAGGAUUCAUAUGAAGGUUCUUAGGCAAGACACAGUUUCUCUUGUUUGAGGAACUGAAGACGUCCAGUGUGGGAGUCACCAGAGCUGGUCACCUAAUUCUUGCAGCUCUCUGCCUUCCAGGCAAAUCGGAUUGUACUUCCUGAACUCCUUGGUCCCGUCUCACGGUGGGGGGGCCAUGAGACUAGUUUAGCCAAUGAACUGUGAGAAGCGACAUGUGACAUUCUCUGGCAAAGGUACUUAAUUGCCUGGCUAAGACCCUUCAAAACUCACUCUCCCUCUUCCACGAGAUCUGUGACGUUCCUGAAAGCCGGUGCUCCAUCAGGCUGCGUCCCAGAGCAAAGCAAUGUGACCAGCGUCCCUGCCAACCCUUGAUGGACACAGAACAGAAGGAAUUAGACUUUUCUGUCUUAAGUCACUGAGAUUUGGAAUUGUUUUUCACUGCAGCAUAACCUGGGCUAUCCUGACUGAACAGUCACAGCUAGCGUGGCUGCAGAAUGGUAAGUCGGGAAGAAGCACUAGAUAUUUCAGCCUGGCAAGGCAGGAGAGGCCAGAUCAUGGGAGAUCUCAGAGGAAAGGUAAAGAAUCUGGGUUUUAUCUCAAAUCCAAUAGGAUGUGCUUAAGGAGGUUCCAGCGGGGGGAGUUUGACACAUUGCAACUUUUGUGUAUUAAAACAAGGUACUGUUGCUAUUUGACUAUUAAAAGGCCCCCUUAAUUCCACUGUAGAAAAGGAUAUUUUUAAAAAAUCCAUCAACAAGCAUUUACUGAGCACCUUCUAUCCUUUCAUGUGCCAGGCAUUCCAUUAAGCAUUGGAGAUACAAAAAUGAAUAAGGCACAGCUCCUGAAUUUGGAGUGAGGGACAUAAGAAGACAUUUACAAGAAUACGUGAUAGACAUGCUCUGCUUCAGCUCAGAGCCGAUCUCGGAGCCGCUCAGUCUUCCUAACCGCACAGGGAAGGAGGUGAGCGCCUGGAGGGGAGAAAAGUGCUCAGGAUCCCGCUAACACGGCUGCUGUCGGGCUGUCGACUCUCCACUCUCAAAGCCACAAACACUUUCAGGCUCGCGGUUACAAGUCCAAGGUGGAUCCCCCAAGUUCUGAAGCAGAAAAGCAGCGUGAGAACCUAGGAAGGUAAGCCGCUGCAGGUCCAGCGCCAAGCCCCAGCCCUCCAAGGAGGCCCAGCCAAGAGCUGACGCCCACCCGCUCCUCCCCCGGGAGUCGGGACGCCUGGUCCUGCCAAAGCACAGCCGCACAGCCUGGCACUGCACUGGGGCCCUGGGAAACUCCGAGGGGGCAGGGGAGGGGGCCGCCCCGGACCACCGCCCAGCCCCGGAGGCGGCGAUGCUACUAGCUCAGCGCGGGGACGCGGGUCUCGCCGGCCCCCGCAGAGAGGCCCCGAAGCUCCGGGAAGCUCGGGACUCGCUGCCGUCACCCCGCGGCGGCGCGGGCCGCACCGAACCCACGACUGCCGCCUCGGGACUCUCCGCCACGCACUUCUGGCCCCAGAGGCGCGGGGGCGGCGGCGUCGGAGCGGCCGCCAGCAUGGGUCUAGCGCUUCCUAGAGGCCGCAGGACGCGGGCCCGCCGCCGGCCGGCGCCCACCUUCCCCGGCCCCGGCCCGGCCCAGCCCGGCCCGGCGGGGCUGCGGCGGCCCUCUCGGAGCCGUCUUCCCGGAAGCGGAUCGGGGCGGGAGCGGGGCGCGUGUGAGUGUGAGCGAAUGUGAGCGAGCGUGAGCGCGCGGCGGCGGGAGCGGGCGCGCCCGGGUUCUCCGAGUGUCGGAUUCCCUGAGCGCCCCGCCGGGGCGGCGGCCGCCCGCGAGCUCGGCAGGGACAGGCGCCCGCGCGCCUCCACGCGGCCCGCCCGAGCGGGAGCCGCCCCGCGCCCACCCGGGGCCGCGAGCCCUGAGGCCGCUCCCGCCGGAAGCGGGGGCCGGCCCGCGCGGCCCGGGAGCAGUGCCGUCCGCCGCGCAGCAGCCCGCCCCAAGCCCGCCUGCCCGAGGCCGCGGGCGCCGUCCCCCGUCAAACCCCACGACGUCAGCCCACAAUGCACCGGGCCGGCCGGAGCCACGCGCGGGGGGGGCGUCCCGCGGGGGGGAGGGGAAAGAAGGGCCCGACUGUGGGAGGGCAGCGGAGCAUUACCUCAUCCCGUGAGCCUCCGCGGGCCCAGAGAAGAAUCUUCUAGGGUGGGGUCUCCAUGGCGACGGGCGGGCCCGCCCCCCUGAGAGCGACGCGAGCCAAUGGGAAGGCCUUGGGGUGACAUCAUGGGCUAUUUUUAGGGGUUGACUGGUAGCAGAUAAGUGUUGAGCUCGGGCUGGUGAAGGGCUCAGAGUUGCGCUGAGUGGCUGGAGCGGCGAGGCGCGGGCGGCGUGCGCGGACUCGGCGAGGCGGGCGGGCGGGCAGGACGGCGGCGGAGUCGGCCCCGCGCGCCUCGCCUUCGUUCCCAUCUCCUCGCCGGCCGCCCGGAGCUAGCGCCUGUGGCUCCCGGGCUGGUGUUUUGGGGAGCGCCCGGAGAGCCCCUUCUCCAGCCGCCCCCGGGAGGGGAGCCCCGCCGCCCGGGCGCUGCUGUGACAGAGCGGCGACUGUCGCCGGGAAGUCCGGAGAGCGGCUGCAGCGGCAGAGAACUUUCCUGACCAGGAGGACAGGGGACGAGGGGCCCCGGGUCUCGGAGCGAACUUUUGCAAAGCUUCCCUCCGCCGGAGCCGCGGCGGCGGCGGUCACGAACGGCGGGCGCGGGGAGGAGCGAGGAGAGGCGCGCUCCGCUCCGCGCGCACCGGCUGCUGAGCUUGGGCG
RNAcentral lists this long non-coding RNA (6876 nucleotides) under Equus asinus (donkey). RNAcentral's name for it is "lncRNA (ENSEASG00005027317.1)". Lineage: Eukaryota; Metazoa; Chordata; Mammalia; Perissodactyla; Equidae. The record is from RNAcentral.